Molecule: ribosomal RNA, 1282 nt
Filed under: Gametis jucunda
Lineage: Eukaryota; Metazoa; Arthropoda; Insecta; Coleoptera; Scarabaeidae
Description: 16S ribosomal RNA
Rfam family: Bacterial large subunit ribosomal RNA (bases 1042-1200)
Source: RNAcentral
AAGUUUGAUAUUUAUAUUUAGUUUUUAAAAAAAAUAUUUUUAUAGUUAGUAUACUUAAGAAUUUAGGUUUGUUAUUAUAGUUUAAAGUAUAGUGAUAGGAUAUUGAAAUAUAUUGAAAUUUAACUUUGUUAAAGAAGGAUUAAUUUUUCGUACCUUGUGUAUCAGGGUUUAUUAAAAUUAUGUAAUUAGUUAUUGUUCUCGAAUUAAAAAGAGUUAAUAUUAUAUAUAUAUAAUUGUGUCAUAAAUUUUUAUAAUAUAGUAUUAGAAAUGAAACGUUAUUCGUUUUUUAUGAUAUCUGGUUUUUUAAGAAAUGGAUUUAAUCUAGUUUAUAGUUUUACUUAGUUUCAUUAUUAAUUAAGUGUUAAUAUAAAGUAAUACUUUAAGGGAUAAGCUUUAAAGUAUAUUAUUAAAACUAUAUUUUAUUAGUAUGAAUAAUUGUAGGAUUGGAAAUUUUUAUCUUUAGUAUGUUAUAAUUAAUUUUCAUUAUAAUAAGAUUUGUAUUUAGUUUAAGUUUUUUAUUAAAAUAAUAUAUUUAAUUUGGUAUUAUAUGUAAUAAUGAUAGAAUUAGUAUAAUUUAAUGUAUUAAUACAUUAUGAAUUUAAGGUUAAGUUAAGGAACUCGGCAAAUCUAUUUUUCGCCUGUUUAUUAAAAACAUGUCUUUUUGAUUAUAAUUUAAAGUCUGGCCUGCCCAAUGAGUAUUUGAAUGGCCGCGGUAUUUUGACCGUGCAAAGGUAGCAUAAUCAUUAGUUUUUUAAUUGAAAGCUGGAAUGAAUGGUCGGACGAGAAAAUGACUGUCUCAAUUUAAUUUUAAUUAGAACUUUAUUUUUAAGUAAAAAAGCUUAAAUGAUUUUAAAAGACGAGAAGACCCUAUAGAGUUUUAUAUUUAUUAGUAUAUUAAUAAUUAAGAAUGUUUUGAGUUUCUAUAUUAAUAAUUAUUUUGUUGGGGUGACAGGAAAAUUAAAUAAACUUUUUUUUUAUAUUAACAUUGAUUUAUGAGUAUUUGAUCCGUUGUUUACGAUUAAAAGAUUAAAUUACCUUAGGGAUAACAGCGUAAUUCUUUUUGAGAGUUCAUAUCGAAAAAAGAGUUUGCGACCUCGAUGUUGGAUUAAAAUUAACUUUUGGUGCAGAAGCUAGAAGGUUAGGUCUGUUCGACCUUUAAAAUUUUACAUGAUCUGAGUUUAAACCGGCGUGAGCCAGGUUGGUUUCUAUCUUUAAAAAUAGUUUGAUAUCUUAGUACGAAAGGACCAGAUAUUGAUAAAAUUUAUUUUAGUUUUGAUUAUUA